GCUGGCGGCAGGCCUAACACAUGCAAGUCGAGCGGUAGAGAGAAGCUUGCUUCUCUUGAGAGCGGCGGACGGGUGAGUAAUGCCUAGGAAUCUGCCUGGUAGUGGGGGAUAACGUUCGGAAACGGACGCUAAUACCGCAUACGUCCUACGGGAGAAAGCAGGGGACCUUCGGGCCUUGCGCUAUCAGAUGAGCCUAGGUCGGAUUAGCUAGUUGGUGAGGUAAUGGCUCACCAAGGCGACGAUCCGUAACUGGUCUGAGAGGAUGAUCAGUCACACUGGAACUGAGACACGGUCCAGACUCCUACGGGAGGCAGCAGUGGGGAAUAUUGGACAAUGGGCGAAAGCCUGAUCCAGCCAUGCCGCGUGUGUGAAGAAGGUCUUCGGAUUGUAAAGCACUUUAAGUUGGGAGGAAGGGUUGUAGAUUAAUACUCUGCAAUUUUGACGUUACCGACAGAAUAAGCACCGGCUAACUCUGUGCCAGCAGCCGCGGUAAUACAGAGGGUGCAAGCGUUAAUCGGAAUUACUGGGCGUAAAGCGCGCGUAGGUGGUUUGUUAAGUUGGAUGUGAAAUCCCCGGGCUCAACCUGGGAACUGCAUUCAAAACUGACUGACUAGAGUAUGGUAGAGGGUGGUGGAAUUUCCUGUGUAGCGGUGAAAUGCGUAGAUAUAGGAAGGAACACCAGUGGCGAAGGCGACCACCUGGACUAAUACUGACACUGAGGUGCGAAAGCGUGGGGAGCAAACAGGAUUAGAUACCCUGGUAGUCCACGCCGUAAACGAUGUCAACUAGCCGUUGGAAGCCUUGAGCUUUUAGUGGCGCAGCUAACGCA
RNAcentral lists this ribosomal RNA (829 nucleotides) under Pseudomonas sp. S2ID7(2011). RNAcentral's name for it is "bacterial SSU rRNA". It matches the Rfam family "Bacterial small subunit ribosomal RNA", at positions 35 to 859 of the family's 1533-position model. The record is from RNAcentral. Lineage: Bacteria; Pseudomonadati; Pseudomonadota; Gammaproteobacteria; Pseudomonadales; Pseudomonadaceae.